RNAcentral lists this ribosomal RNA (893 nucleotides) under uncultured bacterium. RNAcentral describes it as "bacterial SSU rRNA". It matches the Rfam family "Bacterial small subunit ribosomal RNA", at positions 505 to 1398 of the family's 1533-position model. The record is from RNAcentral.
GUGGCAGCCGCCGCGGUAAUACGUAGGGUGCGAGCGUUAAUCGGAAUUACUGGGCGUAAAGCGUGCGCAGGUGGUUUUGUAAGUCAGAUGUGAAAUCCCCGGGCUUAACCUGGGAACUGCGUUUGAAACUGCAAGGCUAGAGUGUGGCAGAGGGGGGUGGAAUUCCGCGUGUAGCAGUGAAAUGCGUAGAUAUGUGGAGGAACACCGAUGGCGAAGGCAGCCCCCUGGGUCAGCACUGACGCUCAGGCACGAAAGCAUGGGGAGCAAACAGGAUUAGAUACCCUGGUAGUCCAUGCCCUAAACGAUGUCAACUAGUUGUCGGGUCUUAACGGGCUUGGUAACGUAGCUAACGCGUGAAGUUGACCGCCUGGGGAGUACGAUCGCAGGAUUAAAACUCAAAGGAAUUGACGGGGACCCGCACAAGCGGUGGAUUAUGUGGAUUAAUUCGAUGCGACGCGAAAAACCUUACCUACCCUUGACAUGUAUCGAAGCCCGCAGAGAUGUGGGUGUGCCCGAAAGGGAACGAUAACACAGGUGCUGCAUGGCUGUCGUCAGCUCGUGUCGUGAGAUGUUGGGUUAAGUCCCGCAACGAGCGCAACCCUUAUCAUUAAUUGCCAUCAUUUAGUUGGGCACUUUAAUGAGACUGCCGGUGACAAACCGGAGGAAGGUGGGGAUGACGUCAAGUCCUCAUGGCCCUUAUGGGUAGGGCUUCACACGUAAUACAAUGGCGCGUACAGAGGGUUGCCAACCCGCGAGGGGGAGCCAAUCUCAGAAAGCGUGUCGUAGUCCGGAUCGGAGUCUGCAACUCGACUCCGUGAAGUCGGAAUCGCUAGUAAUCGCGGAUCAGCAUGUCGCGGUGAAUACGUUCCCGGGUCUUGCACACACCGCCCGUC